This is a long non-coding RNA of Peromyscus californicus insignis, 1181 nucleotides long. RefSeq lists it as uncharacterized. Lineage: Eukaryota; Metazoa; Chordata; Mammalia; Rodentia; Cricetidae. The transcript has 6 exons. The record is from RefSeq and is a predicted model, not a curated record.
GGAAGCUCAUCAGCGGGGCCACGCGCUGAGUGCUCAGUCACUCCCCGGCCCCUGGGAAGGUCUGAGACUGGGGCCUCCCGCGGCCCUAACCGGGCUCUCCCCGAGCGGGGAGGUGAGUUCCCAGAGAGCAGGGCUCCACGCGUGGGCAGACUGGGCAGGAGAGGCCCACGAGUGGGCGGAUGCCUCCCUCGCCGGAGCUUGGAACAGACUCACGGCCGGCUAGAGCGAGUUCAAUGGCUGAGGUUGAAGAUGAAAUGUGUCCAGGAAAGAGCUGGGACUGUAGCACUCUGUGUGCCAGUUCAGAUGUCCUGUGAAAACCCCAAAAUAUCUAUAAAGUGGGCUUGGAUUUGGACAUUCUCAAGAGGAAGGUUUAAAGGCUGAUGGGACUGUACGGGGAUGAUGCUAAGUAGUUCUGAUAUUUCAAGUUGGAUUCCUAGACUGAAGCUGGAUUCACUUGACAACAGAGAAACUAAAAUUGGAAUUCAAGAAGUACAAACAUUUAGUGUUUAGGAGAGAAUAACCUGAUUGACACCACAUUUCUGAUCUGGACCUUCAUGCUGUAAAUCAUGGUUGUACAAUAAAUGAUAAAUGUCUGCAUUCUUUUAUGACCCAGAGAGGCUAAGUAACAAGGAGGGCUCAAUGUGAACACUUGGAUCUCCCUGGGAAAAGGAAACAGAAGAUAUUUUGUGGAUAGACUGGUGGUCUGUGCCUAGCUCAACUAUCAUCAGAGAGGCUUCCUCCAGCAACUGAUGGAAACAGAUGCAGAGACCCACAGCCAUAACAUUAGGCCAAGCUUGGGGAAAUCCUGCUGAGGAGAGGAAGGAUUCUACAAGCCAGAGGGGUCAAGGCCAUCGCAAGAAAACCCACAUAAUUAAUUCACUAACCUGGCUCAUAGGGGCUCACAGCAUCUGAACUGACAGCUAGGGAGCCUGCAUGGGACUGACUUAGGCCCUCUGCAAAUAUGGGACAGUUGUGUAGCACGUGGGACUCCUAACAGUGGGAGCAGGGACUGUCUCUGAUUUGUUUGCUGGCAUUUGGGACCCUCUUCCUUAUACUGGGUCACCUUGCCCGGCCUUAAUACAAAGGGAGGUGCUUAGUCUGACUGCAGUUUGAUAUGCCAUGUUUGUUGAUGUCCACGGGAGGCCUGUGCUUCUCCUGAACAGAAACUGAGCAGAAGUGGA